GAUGAACGCUGGCGGCGUGCCUAAUACAUGCAAGUCGAGCGAACAGACGAGGCGCUUGCUGCUCUGACGUUAGCGGCGGACGGGUGAGUAACACGAGGAUAAUCUACCUAUAAGACUGAUAUAACUUCGGGAAACCGGAGCUAAUACCGGAUAAUAUAUUGAACCGUAUGGGUGAAUAGUGAAAGACGGUUUUGCUGUCACUUAUAGAUGGAUCUGAGCCGGAUUAGGUAGUUGGUGAGGUAACGGGUUAUCAAGGCAACGAUGCGUAGCCGACCUGAGAGAGUGAUCGGCCACACGGGAACGUGGACGCGCUCCAUACGCCUGAGGUAGGGCGCAGUAGCGAACCGUCCGCAAUAGGCGAAAGCAUUGCGGAGCAACGCCGCGUCAGUGAUGAAGGUCUUCGGAGCGUAAAAAUCUGUUAUGAGGGAAGAACAAAUGUGUAAGUAACUAUGCACGUCUUGACGGUACCUAGUCAGAAAGCCACGGCUAACUACGUG
This 497-nucleotide ribosomal RNA is filed under the name uncultured bacterium. RNAcentral's name for it is "partial 16S ribosomal RNA". It matches the Rfam family "Bacterial small subunit ribosomal RNA", at positions 28 to 507 of the family's 1533-position model. The record is from RNAcentral.